GAUGAACGCUGGCGGCGUGCUUAAUACAUGCAAGUCGAGCGAACGGACGCGGAGCUUGCUUCUCUGAUGUUAGCGGCGGACGGGUGUGUAACACGUGGAUCCCCUCCUUAUAUGAGUGGGAUAAUCUCGGGACACGGGCGCUAAUAGCGGAUAAUAUUUUGCAGCGCAGGGGUGAAAGGUGAGAGACGGUGUUGCGGUAACGACUAGAGGGUUACGAGCUGCAUUGGCUAGUUGGUAAGGUAACGGCUUAUCAAGGCAACGAGGCAUAGCCGACGUGCGAGGGGGAUCGCCCACACUGGAAGUGGGACACGGUCAAGACGCCUACGGGAGGCAGCAGUAGGGAAUCGUCCGCAAUGGGCGAAAGUCUGGCGGAGCAGCGCGGCGUGAGUGGUGAAGGUGUUCGGAUCGUAAAACUCUGUUAUUAGGGAAGAACAUAUGUGUAAGUAACUGUGCACAUCUUGACGGUACCGAAUCAGAAAGCCACGGCUAACUACGUG
RNAcentral lists this ribosomal RNA (497 nucleotides) under uncultured bacterium. RNAcentral's name for it is "partial 16S ribosomal RNA". It matches the Rfam family "Bacterial small subunit ribosomal RNA", at positions 28 to 507 of the family's 1533-position model. The record is from RNAcentral.